Xyrichtys novacula (pearly razorfish) is the source of this 80-nucleotide non-coding RNA. The record is from the annotation of a GenBank genome assembly. Lineage: Eukaryota; Metazoa; Chordata; Actinopteri; Labriformes; Labridae.
UCAGUAUUUUCUGGUCAGUGUUGACCACUUUAUUGAUCAAUAAGUCAAUAAAGUGGUCAACACUGGAAAUGAUUGGAUGA